This 78-nucleotide transfer RNA is filed under the name Paramuricea clavata. RNAcentral's name for it is "tRNA-Met". It matches the Rfam family "tRNA". Rfam says of the family: Transfer RNA (tRNA) molecules are approximately 80 nucleotides in length. The record is from RNAcentral. Lineage: Eukaryota; Metazoa; Cnidaria; Anthozoa; Malacalcyonacea; Plexauridae.
GUUUCUGUAGUGUAGUGUAGUGGUCAUUACGUGCGCUUCAUACGCGCAAGGUCCCCAGUUCGACCCUGGGCGGCAACA